Long non-coding RNA from Coregonus clupeaformis (lake whitefish), 1395 nucleotides. RefSeq lists it as uncharacterized. Lineage: Eukaryota; Metazoa; Chordata; Actinopteri; Salmoniformes; Salmonidae. The transcript has 3 exons. The record is from RefSeq and is a predicted model, not a curated record.
CAAAAUCGACUGCUCGUUGUCUGAUGUUUUUAAAUGCAAUUGUUUUGUAGCGUCAAUCUGUUAUAAUUGCAGGGAAUAUAUGCAUAAAGAACACGUUUCAUCAAAGUAUAUCAACAUCAUUCCAUCCAGGGAUGAAUGCGUUUACACAAGCUGCUACUGUGAGGAAAUGUUUGGAAACUAUGUGAACACAUCAAGACUCAAACGCAAAUACCAUUGAACGAGGUGUAUGCAGUCUUUAUAUCAAAUGAAAGAAGAAUGAUCCCUAUGUGGAAACAUAAGUCCAGUCGUGGAGAUGAACCUGUUGUUUGGGUAGGCACUGUCAUCAAGUCCCUUGGAAUUCAUUAUCACACAGAGGAUAGAACAAUCCAGAAUUAGAAAAACAGAUGAAGCCACACCCUUUCCUUUAGCAUUAUGUGAAAUACGGACAUUUUAGAUUUAUCAAAAGGCCAAUGGCAAUGUGUGUAAACCAGUGGAGGCUGCUGAGGGGAGAACGGCUCAUAAUAAUGGCUGGAAUGGAGUGAAUGGAAUGGUAUCAAACCCAAGUUUUUGAUACCAUUCCAUUUACUCCACUGCUGUAAACUGUCAACUAUUACAAUGGUCGCUAUAUAACAUUCAUUAUUCUCUGUUUGUAGAGUUAUCACGUUAUUCUACUACAUCAGAAUUAGCAGGGACAAAGCUUUAUUUAUGACCUAGAUACUGUCCUACCUUUCUCCUGUUCCUUCCAUGUUUACACUACAGAAGCCUUCCAGACCGAUCAGGGUCUUAAACCAGCUUUCUGGUGGUAAGCCAACCAGUAUUCAUAUUCAGGUGAUCGGUUCUCCUCAAUGAUAAACACUGUUGAAUGCUUGUGUAACACUUUCCAGAAGUUGCAAGUUAUUUCUGCAGAUACCUACUUAAAGAAUUUUGCCUCCGACCGGUCACAUAUGAAAGAUGCCAAUGGGACGUGGCUCAUGCCUCCAACUCUGUAUCAUUGUAUUGAAACAGGUACAUCUCAGUACUAUUACAUACUUAUUUCUUCUUGCAACACUCAAUAUUUGAAUAUAAAUAAUUUUCUGUAGGGUGUCUGUGUGAUAAUAUCAGGAUUGUCUAUCUUACAGAAGAAUGGGUUUCUAUCCUUCCAGACUCUAAAAUGAACCUGGAUAACUUAAUCAGUAUGGAUUAUAGUGGGAUGUGGACACGUAUACAGUCUCUCUGAAUUAGUGAAACAUUUUGCAGAAAAAUGAUUGCUGGUUUGAAAUCUGGCCAUUUAUGUCUGUGGUAUCUCCAACAGUGCCCAUAGACCAGCUACAGGGUCAUUAGCCAGGAACCAGCACUCAAUGUUACGCUCCUUAUCACGGUAGCUACAGUUGAAGUCGGAAGUUUACAUACACUUAGGUUGGAGUCAUUAAAACUUGU